RNAcentral lists this long non-coding RNA (14686 nucleotides) under Phaseolus vulgaris (common bean). RNAcentral's name for it is "long non-coding RNA (PVUL_LNC001351)". Lineage: Eukaryota; Viridiplantae; Streptophyta; Magnoliopsida; Fabales; Fabaceae. The record is from RNAcentral.
UCACUAGUUUUUUUGGUAUAAUUUAAGAGUGAAGUGUUGGAUUUCUUUAAGAUUUUACUUUAGAUCAAUUGAAGGUUUUGAUCCUUUAAAAAAAAUAAUAUAAUAGUUGAAAGAGAGUGAGUUGAACCAGCUUUGUAGGAAGAUUUUGUCUUGGACCAAGGCCAUCGCGGGCCACAACGAAACUCCAUCAGAAUUGGGAACAAAGAAUGCGGCGACGGGAGUCAUGGUGUAGAGCCGGUGAAAGGUGGGAGGAACACGGUGGUCGGAAGCGAGGGAAGAGUUAAGAAUGGAGUGAGAAGAAAGAAGUGCGAGGAGACGAUCUAGCAUUGAGGCUGCUUCUGGGUUACUGCAACUAAUCUUUGAUGCUAUUUCCUUAGCAGAAAGCUUAGCACCUUCUCCCGCUUCUUGCAGCACCUCAAACACUCCCAGCUCCGUCGCCGAUUGCACUGCCAUCGGAAGGACCACCGAACCUACAAUCUCCAUGGCUCGCGAGAAGCUUUCUGCAUCUUCUAUUUCUGAAUCUGGAAGGGUUGCCAUCUCCACUUGAACACCUGCAAAUCACUCACAACUUCCACACCUUAAACUAGUAUAUAUUUACACACUACUCUUCUUCUUUCCCUUACGAAGACAAGAAAGAGAAGAGAAGGGAAGAAAAAAGAAGAGGUCUAUAUAUAAAGGGAAAAAAUCUUAUCCUUAACCUUCCUUUUUCAGUGCUUUUUUUUAAGGUAUUUUUUUACAAAUUAAACAAUUUUCUUCUUUAAUUUUAUAGUUUUGAAUAGGCUGCUAUAUAUUAACACAUUCAACCCUAAAAACACACAUUUCCCGUUAUAAUAAGUUAAUAUUUUAUUUUAUUUUUUAAUUUAAUAAUAUUAUUAUAUUAUUAUAAACAGUGUCAAAUGUAAUUUUUUUUACUGUUUAUGUGUUCAUGCAAUAUUUUUCUCUUUUGAAUAAACAUAUUUCAAUGAUAAUAAAUAAUUUAAAAUUAAUUUCUCUGAAUUUAAAAUAAAUGAUACUUGUUUAGCUAAAGUAAAUAUAAUGUGUAUUUUUUAUAAUAAAAAUAAUUAUGAAUAAUUACUGCAAUAUUUAUUAUUUUAGUGAAACUAUCUAUGGUAACUCUCUUGUAAAACAAACAUGACUUACGAAUCAAUAUUGAUCAUCAUUUUUUAGCCAUGAUUUUUAAGCUACAUUUUUGUGAAAUGACUUUUAAAAAAAAUGCAUCACGGGAAAAGUAGUGUGACCUAAAAUAAUAAAAAUAUGGAAAUUUUUCUAUUUUGAAAAUAGAAGGAAAUUUUUUUAGAAAUGUAACUUACAAAUAUUAUACAUCAUGUGUCAUAAAAGGUGGAUAAUUUAAACCACAGAAUUUUUAAUGUGGCUUAUAAUAAUUAUCAAUAAACAAUAAAAAAAUUGUGAACUAAAAACCUCUAUCUUAUAGUUAAAAUCUUUAAAAUUAAAUCUAUGAUAUUUUUUUUUUUAUGUUUUUAAAUAUUAUACGGAGGUUUUGAAACUUAUGAUAUUGUAUGGAGAUUCUUAAACCCAUUAUAUUUAACCGAGGUUCUAAAAGAUGAAAUUAAAAAAUCCUUAAAGAACAUGUUUUUUUUAUGAAUGGUUUAGCGUGUAACUUUAGAUAAAUAACUUAAUAAAAAAUUUUACCUCGAAUAAUGUAAAAAGAAACCACUUUUUUUCUUAUAGUUUUUAUAUGUGUUUUCAUUAAUGAAUAUAUAUAUUUUCUUUAAUAAUAUAUUGUAAAUUUUUUGUUGAGUUAACUUUACAAUAUGUUAUAUAUAGGUUUCUUUUGAAUUAUUCAGAAGUUUAUAUUGAAAAGAAUGGAAUAAAAAUUUGAGAAGGAAGACCAUCAUGAUUCAUACAAUUAACUACUGUCUGAAAAUAAUUUUUAAAUAUGUUUUUUAAUUGAAACCCGAAAAAUUAUCAUAAGUUUUUGUGAUGUCAUAAAAGUAUAAAAAUGGAAUAUCUUUUCAAUCUAAUGUAAAAAUAAGGCAGAAUGUUAAUUAUAAUAUUGGAAAUGAUUUUUACUAUUUCUUCUGUAAUUGGCUAGAUUUUGUAUAAAUUGUCAAAAUACUCCUAAUUAAUCAAUUUAAGAAGUCUAAAAUUGAUUUUUAGUGAGAAUAUUUUGAUACUUUUUAUCUUUAAAAGUUGAAGUCAAGUUUAUCAGAAUGAUCAUGAGUACUUUGAUUAUUUUAUACAAAAUUAUAUAACUAUAGUAAAAAUUUUAUAAUUAUGUAAUAUUGUAGAUCAUAUUAUAAGUGUAAAAUAAAGUUCUGAAUAUUGUGCUUAUUGUUAUCACUGUAAAGUAAAGUAAUAAACUAAAUUACUGCUGUUCAAUUUGACCGUUCUGAAAAUAAAAUAUAUUACCCUUAUGAUCAAAUUGAUAAUACUGUUAGUGAUGAUUUGCAAAUUUUUAAAAAAAAAUCCUUUAACUCUUAUUUGUAAAGGAAUCCAUCCAUUAUUACCCUGUUAGGGAUAAUACUAUGAGUUAAAUCCACUAAAAAACGAUCAUUUACCUUCCACGGUGAUUUAACUUUCAUAUGUAUGUGUGAGUUCACAUUUAACUUUCAUAUGUAUGUGUGAGUUAAGUGUGAACGUGAUUUUUUUAGACCAAAUCCAUGCAAAAUUGAUGCAAAAGUAUAUUUUUUUGGAAAUCUGACGCAUAAUAGACGUAAAUAUAGAUUUAAAUAAAAAAUGGACUAUAAUUUAUAUUUAUUUAAUGUAUAAUAUGGUAAAAAAUAUUAUAAUUUUUACUUGUUUAUUGUAUUUAUUUUAAUUUUUUUAAUAAUUUUGGUAUAUGUUAGUUAAUAAAUUGAUUACGUGUUUAUUUUUAAAUUAUUUUAAAAAAAUAUCUUAAACAAUUUAAAAAGAAUUGAAAAAUGUUAAAAAAUAAUAAUUGAGUAAAAGAAAAAAUGUAAUUAAAUUUAUAAAUGUUAUACAAAAUACUUAAAUUUUUUAAAAAUUAAUUAUUUUAAUUUAAUUUCAUUUAUAAUAAGUAUUUAGAUAUAAAUUAGUUAAAUUAAAUUUAUUAAAUUGAUUAAUAGUUUAAUUUAAAAUUAUUUAAAGAAUUAUCCUAUAAAGUUUAUAAAGAAUUGAAAGAUGUAGAAAAAUAAUAAUUGGGUAAAAAAAUACAUAUUUAAAUUUUUAAAAUAUUAUGUAUUUAUUUUUUGUUGUAUAAAUUAAAUAUAUGUUUUGUUCUAUAAAUGAAAUUAAGUUUUUUUUUCUAUAAAUUAAAAUAAAUUUUUGUUGUAUAAAUUGAAUUUAAUUGUUUUGUAUAAAUUAAAGAAAGUUUUUCUUAUAAAUUAUAUCAUUUUUUUAUACAUUAAAUUUAUUUAUUUGUUAUAUAAAUUUAAAAUAAAAUAAAUUAAAUUUUUGAAAGUUUGAAUAUAAUUUUUAUUAAAUUAUAUUUAAGCUACAUACUUAUGAAAAUUUUCAAGUGCCUCACAUUAAUAAUAAUAAGUAUAAUAAAAAUCAUAAUAUUACAAAAGAAUUUGUCUGGUUUAGUGGUUAAAGCUUAUUUGGUCACGGAAAAAAAUAAAUAAUCACUUGACAACUUAACUUUUAAGAGUAAUGUGAUUAUUGAAUUUUUUUUUUAAUUAUAAGAAAAAAUGAAAAUAUGUUUUUAUUUAAUUUAACAAAACUUAUUUUCUAAUUAGUUAUUUUGACCAUUCAAUACCCAAGUUUUUUUUGUUUUAUUGAUGAAUGUUCUUUUUGAAAAUUCUACUAUAUCAAAAUUCAAGUCUUUUUUUCUACUAGAGUCACUACAAAAAUUUAUUAUUUUAAUAGAGAUUUAUUCGUGGAGGUUUUUAUAACAUCUGGUAAUGGACACUGUUAGUAGAGGUUUCUUAAAUCCCUGAUAAACAUCAAUAGUUUUUUAAUAAGUCAAAGUAAAAUAUUUCAAUUUUCUUCCUUUCUCCUAGAGAAACAAUGCUCUCUAACGUCAACCCUAGGUUAUUUCUCACAUUUUUUGUUUUCAUUUCCAACUUUCAAAAUCCAACAAGACCCCAUUCUCUUCUUUCACUCUCUAUUUCGUCUUCUAUUUUCAUCCUCAUCUAGCAAUCAUCUCUUUCUCUCGCAUUAUUUUCAUCAUCAUCUUCUAUUUGACUCUGGCUCAGAUUCACUUUUCCAAGCCUUCAGGAAGAGAGUGGCAAUGUUGUAUUCCAGGAAGAGCGAGUCAAUAUAUAACUUCUUCUAUUUCAUCAUUCCAAACUAUGUACACAUACGAAGAAACUAAUUUCAUAUUUUUCUGAUAGAAACUGAUUGAAGGAAGAUUUGGUGAUGUAAUGGAGGAAGUCGUGAGGACUCACCAAGCUAUCAAGUAAGACAGAAAUCUCUCACUUAAUUUUAACCUCUAACUUUGACUUGUCUGUUUACUUAACAUAUGUAAUCUUUAACAAAAAUAUUAACAAGAAAAUACGAUAGAGUAACGUGUAUAGAGUAACGUGUAUAGAGUGAUGCAAUAAUGUAUUAGAGUAUUGUAUCAGUAUUUCCAUUGCAUAUUAGAAUUUAGUUAAUGAAACCCAGUUUUAACAAUGAGAGAUGGAAUUUGUGAAGAAAUGGUGAAUGAGAUUUAUGAAAAAAAAAGGAAGAAAUUGAAAAUGCAUUGAGUUAGUUUGAAUCUGUUUUGAUAUUUGUAUUAAUGUGUGAAAUGAAAGUCUCUAUAUUCUAAUGGAAGAUGAAGAGCUCUUUCUGUGGCAAUCAUGCUCCUAUUCUUCAAUAUCAUAAUCAUUUCCGACAAAGUUAUUAGCUGUAGUGGAAUAGUUUGACUUGCCAAGAUUGAAGCUCAUGUGUGAAUCAAUAUUUUGUAGUGACAUAUCUAUAUAUUUUGUUCCAUAUAUUCUGGUUCUUGCAAAUCGUUAUCGUGCUAAUGAGUUGAAGUCCAUCUGUCAAAAAUUUUGUGUUGAAAACUAUGAUGGUGAGAGUUCCUACUUAACUACUCAAAUUGAGUUUUCAGUUUAGAAUGUUUUAGCCUGAAACAUGGUUUCUGCAUUAGUUGUUAAUGUUUGGAAGUUGAUUCUCAUAUUCUUUCAUCAUUGUCUGUUGCAGCUGUGAAGAAAUCUGGUGGUUUGGAGUAUCUCAGGCAAAGAGGUGAAAGUUCAAAGGUUCACAUUUCUAAUGCUGAUAACAACAACAAUAAUCCAUUAGGCAUUACUUUUAAGAUUUGGAAUGAUCAAGAAAAUUAGUUGAUUAUAAAGACUAUGUACUCUUGAUAAAAAAAAAGAUAAUGUAUUACUUAGAAGGUACCAUGUUUCUUCAUUAUAUUAUUUUGUUGGGUAGUUAGUUGUAUUAAAUAUUAAUUUAUGUUUUCCUAUUUAGCAAAAAUAAAUUGAAUAAACUUGUACUGGAUUUAAUACUUUUACUUUUUGAUGCGAAUUAAAUGAGUUUACAAUGUUUAUGAUAUUCUCAUUAUUAUAACUUUUAUGAAAUAAGUUUAUUAUAUUCUCUAUGAACGUAGAUCCAUGAAGGAACAAGAAAAAAAAUCAUAAUUAGAGGUAGGUACAAAACUUUUGUUCUGCACGGAAACAUUUUCCAAAAAUAUAUGGGAUUAUUAUGAGUCAAGUCUUGCACAAUUAUUUGAGGUUCAGAACAAACUCUACAAUGUAAGACUUGAUUAUUUUCAUUCAAAAAAUUAUCUUGAUGAUGAUAUAUAUAAGUGAUGAAGUACCACAUACUAAUUCAAAUCUAAAACACAAUCACGACCAACUAGAUUUAACUUAUGAUAUAAACAUAUAUAUAUAUAUAUAUAUGCCUCGGUUUCAUCAGUACUUCAUCUCAAAAUAAUAGAUUUUUUAUUAUAAUAUUACUCAUUAUAUGAAUAAUAAUAAUAAAAAGACAAAUUGAAGGGUUAUUUUAUUCAAAAAUUUUAUUAUUUGUCACAUAUUUUUUAUAUAUCCACCUCCUAGAAAUAAUAGGAGUUUUCAAACUGCCGGAAAUAGCGGGAGUUUUCAAAAUCGUCGGAAAUAGUGAGGUUUUCAAACAGUUGAAAAUAGCGGGGGUUUUCAAAACAGUCGGGAAUAACGAAGGUUUUCAAAACUGUUGGAAAUAGUAGGGGUUUUCAAAUUGUCGGGAAUAACAGUAAUCACUUAGCGACGUUGAAUCUUUCAUAGAAAAAGCAAACCGCGAGUAAUACACUUAACAUGGGUUAAAACUGCAAAAAAUAACCCAUUAAAAUUAAUUUAUUUUUGUAGUGAGUAUGUUUUUCUAUAAGAGUAUUUUAAGGGUAUAGUUUUGUCAAGAGUAAUUUUUGUUUGUAACAAGUAGAAUCAGUAUUAUAAAUAGUUUUUCUUUUCCAUUAUAAUCAAAGAUUUACCUUUUCAUAACUUCUGUAAUAAAUUUUCAUUAAAUAGUAAUGUAGAGUGCAAAAAUAAAAUUUUAUAUCUGAUUUAGAACAAUAUUAAAAAACCUUAUGAUAUUUGGUACAAUAUUCUGAAUAACAAAAAAAUAUUUUAUUUCUUAUAACAAAAAUUAUAAUUUCCUAUUCUAACAAAUUUAAAAACUAUUUUAAAUUAAAUUUUUUGAAUAUUUAAAAAAAUUAGAGAAAUUUGAAUUUGAAAAAAAAUAUAAAGAAUCCAAAUUUUACAAUUUUACCCUUUAAAUAACUAUUUUUUUUAAAAUUCAAAUAAUUCUUUCCAAUAAAAAAUAACCUACACAAUAAAAAAAAUUGCAUACAACAAACUUAAAAAAUUAAUUAUUUUUGUAAUAAUUUUUAAUAAAAAUAUUUUUAUAAUUUUAUUUCAAUAGUUAUUAUAAUAAUAAUUUUUUUAUAAAGAAAAAAAGUGUAGUUAUUCCUCUUUAAAAAAAUAUAUUUGUUUACUAUAUAAAAUAAAUAAUUUAUUUUUAUUUUAUUUUAAAAUAAUAAAUAAUUUUUCUUAAAAGUAAUUGAUAUAUAUGGAUAAUAAUUUCUACCUUAUAUAAAUAUUUUUAAAUAAAGAAUAAAAUAUAUUUUAAAUUCAUGUUUUUGUACAUAGUAAGAUUUAUAAUAAUAUUUUAAAUUUAUAUCACAUAUUAAUUAUAUAAUAUUUUAUAAUAAAAUAAAAUAAAAAUGCACUUAUAGGUCUGUGUUUUCAUUAGUUAGUAAUAAUAAUAAUAAAGAUAAAAGUAAUGUAUUUAUUCUAAAACAAUAUGCACAAAGUUUUUUCGGAUUCUGUAUAAAUGGUCAAAAAUUCACCUUUUUUUUCAUUAAAAGUGAUGCAUAUUACGAAAAUUUCAUUACUCCAAUCUCUUAUAGUCAAAUUGUUGGAAUGGAGUUCCAAUUUUGUCAUGGUUUGUUAGUGCUUUAUUAAUAUAAUUUUGGCAAAAAUUUGGUGUUUGAUACAAAACUUAAGAAUUAAAAAAUUACAAUCUUUUUCUAAAUUAAUUUAUGCACAAGAUAAUUUUAUAAUUUUGAAAAAUGUAUUUUUUAUUAUUUGAAAUAUUUAUAAAAUUUGUCCACUAUUUAAUACACGAAACAAUAAUAUUCUAGCUUUAUUUCUACGAAAAAUAAAUAUUAAAGUAUGCAAUCAAUCACUACCACCUUGAUUAAAAGUCGACUCAAUUUAUCAAAUAUCAUUAUUUACACUUUUAUUUCUCUCUCUAACAUUCUUUUGUUUUUAUUUCUUUAUCUAGCACCCUUUUAUUUUUAUUUUCCUACCUAUCACUAUUUCAAAAGUAAAAAAAUAAUAAUAAUUUUUUUUUUAAUUUUGAAUGGAUUAAAAAAAUAAAUAUUUUUAAUGUUUAAAAUAGUUAUUAAUGAAUAAAGAAAUGAGUUUCUAAAAAAUAAAAAUAAUAAAUAAUAAAUUAAAAAUGUUUAGUUUAAUUUUUUUUAAAUGAAGAAAAUGAAAAUUUAAGCCUACAACAACAUAAAAGUUGAAUAUAUAAACAUAAAUUAGUAUUUAUUUUUAUUAUUAUUUAUGAUGUAAUCAUGUUAAUUUCAAGUAAAAAAUAUAGGAUAUAAUUAUAAAAAAAAUCAAAAUCAAAAUCAAUUAAUAUUAAUUUGUAGUGGACACAUAGAUAAUAUUAUAGUGUCUACUCAUUUUUAAGCAUUAAGUAUAACAUUUGCAUUAAUUUUUUUUUUAGGAUUUUGCAUUUAGGGUAGACACUUCAAUAUUAUAUGGGUGUCAACUACUAAUUAAUACUAAUUUACUUUGUUUUUUUUUAUAAUUAUGUCCUGUAUUUUUUACUUGAAAUUAACAUGAUUACAUCAUCAAUAAUAAUAAAUAAAUACAAAUAUUCAUUUGUGUUUAUAGAUUCAACUUGUAUGUUGGUGUAGGGUUUAAUUUUUUAUUUUCUUCAUUCUUAAAAAAUAUUUAAACUAAACGUUUUUAAUUUAUUAUUAUUUUUUUGUAAAAAAUAUUUCUUUAUUCAUUAAUUAUAUUUCUAACUAUUUUAAACAUUAAAAAUAUUUAUUUUUUUAAUUUAUUCAAAAUUAAAAUUAUCAAUUUUUUUAAUUUUUUAAUUUAUUUUUUUACUUUUGAAAUAGUGUUAGAUAGGGAAAUAAAAACAAAAGGGUGCUAGAUAAGGAAAUAAAAACAAAAGGGUGUUAGAUGGGAAAAUAAAAAUGUAAAUAGUGUUAUAUGAGGAAUUGAGUCUCAAAAGUCUUCUCAUAAUUUAAAUUUAAAUUUGAUUUCUUUAAGCUAACUCCUUUAUGAAAUUUGUAUUAUUUUAAUAAUAUACACUACAAGAAAAUCAUCAAAUAGAAAUCAAUUUUAGAGUAAAAAAUAAUUAGUUGCUAUAGUGACUAAAUUAAAUAUCACUUUAGAGACUAAAAUAUUUUUUAGUUUCUAAAUUGGUAUCUAAUUAAUAUCAAGGUUUUAAUGACCGAACUGUUUUGUUCAGGUUCGUUAUUAUACUGAGUUAAAAACUUUGGUUAGGUGCCGACCAAACUGCUCAGGAGAUAAGGGAAUAUUUCAAUCACAAAUCCUACAAUAUUUGUUAAAGAAGUAGUAGAACACCAUUUAUCAUUUCAAAAAUUAAUAAAAGUACAUGUACCAAUAGUCUAAGAAAUAUAAUCAAGUAUAUGAGAAUAAAAUUGUAUAAUUCCAGGCCAAAGAUAUGAGGAUCUAUAAACCAUUCUAAACUCAUAUUUUGAUUUAAGAACCCUGACUUUCAGGAGAAAAGACAAAGGUCUGUUACUAUAAACAAAGUUCCAAGCAAGCUUAAGAAGAUAUAUAUUAUUUUCACGAUGAAGGUUAAUAAUCUUCAAACCUCAUUCUAAAAAGGAAAACAAAUCGUAACCCAAUUAGUGGUAGAUAUGCAUUUUUUCAAAAUAUCACCAAUCGAAAUAAAAUUUCGACACCCUUCUCAACUUGCUUAAAAAGUGAAACAUAUAUACCAUUUGUACACAUUAAAUAUAUAAACUAGAAAUUCAAUAAUCACCAUAUUAACCAACUAAAUCAACCCAUCAUGCUAAGAAAUAAGUUGUUCAAUUCCUUAUUCAGAAGGUAUUUGAACUUAUAUUAUUAGCUUCAUCAUUUAAAAAAAAAGUUCAUCUCAAAUAGUUUAACUCUAGAUUAAUUUUUUUAUAUUAUUUGAUUUUAUUAUUCCAUACGUAUAGAUUUGAAGAAUCUUUAACUUUUUGUAACUGUUAUUUGGAUAUUUAGUAACUUUCACAUAAAAACUUUUCAAAAUUGAAAUUGAUUUCUAAACUGUAUGAGUCUUAUUGUUUUAAAUUGGUGGCUUGAGUAUUGAAAUUAAAGAAAUAGACAUUGAGGUUUAGGGUUUUUUUGAAAUUGAUAAGAGUAUGUGAAGGUCAACUUGAGUAAUAUUAGUUAUUUUGAGCUUUAUGUUUUUUUUAUCAGCAAAUAGUAAUGAAAUUAAAUGAGACAAAUUCAGGGGUGGUCCAACCCUUAUACAGCAAAAUGAUGCUCACAAAGUACCUUUCCAUCUACAUAUCAACCAAAAAAAUAACAAAGAUCAACCAAUAUAAAAAACUAAAUUGAAUGCAUACAUACCAAGGGUUCUAGACACCAAUCAGAGAAUGAAAAAUUAGCUGACGGUAUUUUUGAAGAGAUCUAGGACCAAACCUUAAUCUGUGUCAGAGAGAACACUUCAGUAUGAUCAACCACUCCACCUUUAAAUAAACAGUUAUUCUUGUGCCUCCAUAUCUCGCUAACCAACGCAAUCCACAAGUUGCCCAUAAUAAGAUUAACUGAAGUGGGUGCAUCCAGAAUCUUGAAAUGUUCAAAAUGAGACCCAAGAUCCAUAAAAUCGACUGAUCUUAGUCCUAACCAGUCAUAACAAAGAUUCCAAAUUAGCCAAGCAACUCUACAUUCGCCGAACAAAUGAUUUGUUGACUCCUCUGACCUCCUACACAAGCAACACAAAUUACUCUCGACCUCGAUUCCUCUUCUCUUCAGAUUAACCCUACAAGCAACCUUGUUUUCAAUCACUCUCCAAGAUGUGACUUGAGCUGAGGGAAGCGCCCUAAUUUUCCAGAAAAAAUUAUAACUUCUUGAGUCUUCCUCACUUCCUUCUCCCCUUUAAAAACCAUAAGCGAACUUAACUGAAAGCUCUAUUGAAUCACUAUCCUUCCAAACACAUCUAUCCAUUGUUUCCAUCUCGAGCAUCUUAGUAGAGAUCAUCUCUAAGAAUUGACUUUCUUGCUCCUCUUCCCAAGCGAACAUACCCCUUCUCCACCUUAAGUUCCACUCCCAAGUCCUGUUCCCCCAUAUACCACAAUCACAUAAAUUUGCCUCCUUAUUAACAAACAAAGAAAAUAAUCUUGGAAAUCCAAUCUUCAAGGCUUCUGAGUCUAUCCAAUUGUCUGACCAAAACAUAACCUCUCUCCCGUUUCCGACCUCCAAAUUCAAACGAUCUUCAAACUUCCUUCCCCAUUCCUCAAACCUUCCUUAAAUCUCUCCACCACAUAAAGACCUUACUAUUAUUACCUCGCUGCUCCUUCAAACCUCUCUAUCCUCCAUACUUAGAUUCCAAUACCUCCCUCCACAACCCCUGUUUCCGUUUUCAAACGCCAAAUCCAUUUUUCCAUUAGAGCCAAAUUAAACUGCCUGACAUUCAUAAUACCAAGCCCUCCUUCUUCCUUGGAUUUACAAACCUUAUCCCAUGCCACCCAGACAAUCUUCCUUCCAUCUAACCCCCAUCCCCACAAAACAUUCAUCUGCAGGCUCACAAUCUUCUUUAAAACAAUAGGCAAAAUCUUGAAUAGAGAAAGAUAAAACAAAGGUAUUGACGACAAGACCGACUUAAUUAAGCAUAUCCUCCCCGCCAUCGAGAUAAAUCUUUCUUUACCCUGUUAACCACUUCAUCCCAUAACUCACCCCUCUUAUGACACCCCCCUACAGGCAUCCCCAAAUACUUAAAAGGAAUUCUCAUCAUCUCACAAUUUAGAAUUGUCGCAAAGUGGAGAAUCUCCGACUGCUCCAUCCCAAUCCCACCAAGUUUACUCUUAGAAAAAUUCACCUUAAGACCAUAUACCAAUUCAAAAUAGUUCAACGUUACCUUUAUAUUAAAAACACUUUUGCUAUUUGCCUUACAAUACAACAAUGUAUAUAUUGUUAUUGUUCUAUAAUUAAAUUUUAGCGUAAAGAUUGUUAGAGUGAUGCUUAAGCAAACUUUAACCUUAAGUGAAAAGUAUUAUUAUUUAAGUAAGAGAGACAAUAAUAAUAAUCUCUUCUCUUGAAAUUCAUUACUCAAAUAAUGAUUAAUUACUCAGUUUGAAUGUAAAAAUUAAGUGAAAAAUAUUAUUGUUUAAGAAAAAGAGACAAGAGAAAAAUCUUCAUAACAAACUUUAUUUUAAUCUUAAGCCACAUCACACAACUUUAUCACAGGCUUAAUAUUGACUUAUUUUUCAUGAAAAGUGUAUAUAACAUAAUAUAUUAGAAUGCAUAAAAGCAAACAUGAAACACAUAAACAAGCAAUUAGAAAUAACGUAUGAUGUGGUCUACUUGAAGAACUCCAUAACCCAGAAAAUGUUGACACGACAUUCAUAUCUGAUGCCACUAAAUCCAGCUGCUCUUGCCAGUUUCAUGAACUCUUCUUCAGAUCGUUCUUUACCUCCCGGGUUCUGAGUCAUCAUCGCAACAUCCAUUUGUGCAACCGUCUUAUAAACAUCAUUAUUCUCUGGUAUCUGUGGAAGAAUUGCCUCCACAACUAUCACCUUUCCAUCAUCAGGAAUUGCAUCAUAGCAAUUCUUCAACAGCUUCACACAAUGUUCAUCACUCCAAUCAUGAAGUAUCCACUGUACAAUUACUUAAUGUCAAACCGCAUUGAAUGAAGUUGGUAUAAGUCAUGCAUCAGUUUGAAUUAAACUCUUUUUUCAACCAACUAUUAUUCAUAUUCAAGACAAGAAACAUGUUCAUACUUUGUAUUAAAUACAUAAAAAAAAACCAAAUAAUGUUUGAAUAUUAAUGUUUAGAAAUUUAAACUAAUAAAGUCAAACAAAGGGGUUAGAGUUAUGAUAUUUUGACAUGGUCAAAACAAUAUUAAAUGCACAUGCUUAUUAAUUUAAUAAAUUAAUAUUUUAAUUAUAUUGAUUUUAUAUUUUAAUUUAAAAUAUUAUCAUAUUAUUAUAAGGUGUUAUGAAGUGAAUCUGUUUAGAGUUUCAAACCAUAUUUUUCCAAUUAAAUAGUAGUAUAUUUCCCAGACCGAGACUUACCUUCAUAAAUAUGGCGUCUCCUUUAGGCACAUUUUCAAACAUGUCUCCCUCAACGUGUUCCACUCCUGCAAUAUUAGAAAGUAAAUAGUACACACUAUUUAUGUUAUUGUCUUGUAAAAACUCAAAGUUGACCUUCAAAAGACGAAAAAACAACAUUUUUUUUUUAAAUUUUGCAGAACCACAGGAUUGGAAUGUGUAAGGAUGAUACCAGGAUAGGAAGGAGCAUCUCGAAUGACAUGAGGCAAGUCGAAAUUGAUGCCAUGGAUAUUAGGGUAUUUGGAAGUGAUCAAGUUAAUGUUUAUUCCAAGACCACCACCAACAUCCACCACUCUUUUUAUGCCCUCAAAACCUUCGUAGGACUCCAGAACCUUCUUCAUCACCAAAGGGGUGUUGAUCAUUGCUGUGUUGAAAACUUUAUUGAACCUUGAAUCCAAACGUGCAUACUCAAAAGCAUGAGUGCCAUGAACCCUGUUGAAUGGAACACCCCCCUCCCUAAUUGCAUCUUUCAGCUCACUCCUAUAAUAAUAUAUAAACAAAUUACUAGUACCAUACAGAAAUACAUGAAAUCUUUAAAAAUAUAAGAUACGGAAACAUAAAUCUAUAUCUAUAACUAUAUAUAAAGAUGAUUUUUCAUUAUAACCAUUUUUUGGUAUACACAAUUUUUUUAUGAUUCUAUCCUUAUUCAAUAUAUCUCAUCUUAUUAGUAUUUUAUCAUUUCAUAUAAAUUAUUAAAAAAAUAAAAUUAUUUAUUAAUUUGUUAAAUUAAUGUUAUGUGACAGUCUUUAUAUGUAAACUAACUUCUCACUCUUCCUUUACUUUCCUAUUAGGCAACAACAAAAAUAAAGGUGCUCUCACCCUCACUCCUCUAUUAAUUCCCACACCAAAUCUAGCAACAACAGAAAUAAAGAGAUCAUACUCUCACCCUCACUCUUCCAUUCUCACACCAAAUCUAACGUAUACAACAAAAUAACAUACAUUUAUUUUCAAUCACUCUCUCGAGUUCAUUUCAAACAACUCUAUUCUUUGGUAAAACCAUCAUUCUUUUUUAUCUACCAUCAAGUGAAUCUUAACAUUAACAUGAACAUCAUCACACUCUCCGAUUCCAAAACCACCCAUGGAAGAAAAUAAAAAACUUGAAGGAGAGAACUCAAACCAUAGGAGAAACAAAAUGUUGAUUAAUCAAUUUAUCAUUUAUUUUUUACAUAUUAUUUUUUGUUUUUCAAUUUUGACUCAUCCAAAAUUAUUGUUGUAUGUAUGUUAAAUUUUUAUCAUCAUAUAAGUUAAACAGAAGAAGGAAUGCGGAUACACAUACACUACAAUGCCUCUGAUUUCGCUAGUAUUAUAUAAUUUGACAAUAAAUACUUAUGUGCACAAGUAUCACUUAUUUUUAGUAAAAAUAUGUUUCUCAUUACUAGUUAAAAAGGAUUUGUUCCUUAUUUUUAUAACUAUAAUAAAAAUUUAUAUAAUAAAUUUGAGUUUUUAAAAAUUUAAUGUAUUUUUUUUUUUUAAGAUUGUAUUAGAACCAUACUAGAAUUGUCAGAAAUCCAACAAAUAUUUUUUGAAUUGAACACUUCACAUAUACAUAUUCUACAAACAUAUUCUACAAGUGUCAUAUACAUAUUCUACAAGUGUCGAUAUGUAAUACAUGUAUCGAUAUGCAUACCAUUUAAGAUACUUGUCCUAAACUCUUAGCACGUUAGAUAUACGAAUAUGUUUGUGAUGGAAAAGAACAUAAAAUGAUAAUAAUAGUUGAGAGAGAGAGAGUUUAACCAGCUGUGUAGAGAGAUUUUGUCUUGGAUCAAGGCCAUCACGGGCCCCAACGAAACUCCAUCAGAAUUGGGAACAAAGAAUGCGGCGACGGGAGUCAUGGUGUAGAGCCUGUGAAAGGUGGGAGGGACACGGUGGUCGGAAACGAGGGAAGAGUGAAGAAUGGAGUGAGAAGAAAGAAGUGCGAGGAGACGAUCUAGCAUUGAGGCUGCUUGUGGGUUACUGCAACUAAUCUUUGAUGCUAUUUCCUUAGCAGACAGCUUAGCACCUUCUCCCGCUUCUUUCAGCACCUCAAACACUCCCAGCUCCGUCGCUGAUUGCACU